This is a long non-coding RNA of Chenopodium quinoa (quinoa), 251 nucleotides long. RefSeq lists it as uncharacterized. The record is from RefSeq and is a predicted model, not a curated record. NCBI's taxonomy places the organism in Eukaryota, Viridiplantae, Streptophyta, Magnoliopsida, Caryophyllales, Amaranthaceae. The transcript is spliced from 2 exons.
UCUGCCUUUAUCUACUGUCAACUCAUUGGUAUACUAGAUGAAAUGUUUAUGGGAUUUUGUAAGAACAUUGAAGGUAUUGGACAAUUGAGAGUUCGAGAUUUUGCAGUUGAAGAAUUCGUUUCCAUCUCUUCCACUUUGUAUAUAACUAUAUAAUUUCAAUAUAAUUUUGUAAUGGAUUUCAAGUUUGACAAAAUAGUUUGUAUCUAAAUAUGAAACAUUUAAUUAUGCAAUUUUGAUUCUUUUAAUGUGAA